AACCCAUGACAAGGGAACUUUUUCAAUAAAUCCUUGUAUCUCUCUCAUGCAUCAUAUAAGGUUUCUAAAUCGAUCUGGGUAAAGGAAGAGAUAUCAUUCCUCAACUU
Non-coding RNA from Gossypium hirsutum (cotton), 107 nucleotides. Lineage: Eukaryota; Viridiplantae; Streptophyta; Magnoliopsida; Malvales; Malvaceae. The record is from Rfam.